Molecule: ribosomal RNA, 492 nt
Filed under: uncultured bacterium
Lineage: Bacteria
Description: partial 16S ribosomal RNA
Rfam family: Bacterial small subunit ribosomal RNA
Source: RNAcentral
AGUGAACGCUGGCGGUAGGCCUAACACAUGCAAGUCGAACGGCAGCACAGUAAGAGCUUGCUCUUACGGGUGGCGAGUGGCGGACGGGUGAGGAAUACAUCGGAAUCUACUUUUUCGUGGGGGAUAACGUAGGGAAACUUACGCUAAUACCGCAUACGACCUACGGGUGAAAGCAGGGGAUCUUCGGACCUUGCGCGAUUUCAUGAGCCGAGGUCGGAUUAGCUAGUUGGCGGGGUACAGGCCCACCAAGGCGACGAUCCGUAGCUGGUCUGAGAGGAUGAUCAGCCACACUGGAACUGAGACACGGUCCAGACUCCUACGGGAGGCAGCAGUGGGGAAUAUUGGAAAAUGGGCGGAAGCCUGAUCCAGCCAUACCGCGUGGGUGAAGAAGGCCUUCGGGUUGUAAAGCCCUUUUGUUGGGAAAGAAAAGCAGCAGGUUAAUACCCCGCUGUUCUGACGGUGCCCAAAGAAUAAGCACCGGCUAACUUCGUG